Salvia miltiorrhiza (redroot sage) is the source of this 996-nucleotide long non-coding RNA. RefSeq lists it as uncharacterized. The transcript is spliced from 5 exons. The record is from RefSeq and is a predicted model, not a curated record. Lineage: Eukaryota; Viridiplantae; Streptophyta; Magnoliopsida; Lamiales; Lamiaceae.
GUUCUUCUUCUCUUCGUUCUCGUAAGCCCUAAAAUCCUAAAUCCCUAAAACACCAAUUUCAGUCGCCCCAACAAUUCUCCCUCUGGCCUCAGCGGCGACGACGAGAACGCCGCCGCGACUUGCCACCUGCCCCCGCCGCAUCCUUGCUUCAUCUACCACCCACCGCGGCCCGCCACCCCUCAUUUGUGAUAAAGCAAUAAAUCAAAUCUUAAUUCAAAUUUGAGUUCAAUCAAACUCGUCACUCCCCGUCACUGCUCUGUUCUGUGGCUCUCGAAGUUGCCGGCCGCCGCUGUCCAGACCUCCCCCCCCAAUGAUUCUCGUAUCUCUCUCACUCUUCCCGGCGCAGCAAAUCAGCUCCACUCUUCCCCGACCCAACAAGCCAGUAAAUCGGUUCCUCUCUGCCCAGUCCCGUCGUUUCCUACGCCACUUCGGAGCUCCGAUGCUCAGCCCUUUCCCGUCUCCCCGCCUCCGACGCGGGCAGCCUUCAGUGAAAUUGGAAUUACUUUGCAGCAAAUCGAAAUAAGAAAAGAGCUUCUAAGUUGGAAGCUACACAUUAUGAGAAGGCGAAGGAACUAUACACGAAGAUUCUUGAGAGGAUGCUUCAAUUUUACAACAUAAGGAAAAAGAGAAAAGUGAAGGAAAUGUUCACAUUAUAUCCAUUUGUUGGAUUGCUCCAUGUUGCUGGAUACACACAUAAGUUUGAGAUUGCAGAGACAUGUUUUGGAAAGAUGGGGAGCCAUUUAGGAUAAUUGGAGGAGACUUGCAUUAUUUCCGAGUGCAUCCUGAGGUUUGUGGUGGAUUAAAUGAGUCGUACGUUGAGCUGAAGAGGCUUGUGAAUUCACAAGAAAAGUUGUACCAUAUGGCUAGCUAGUUGCAUAUUUAAUAUGUUUAGUAUUUUUGUAAGGCAUAAUAGUAUAGAUAGAGCAGUUGUUGAAUUUUGACUAUAUUCAAAUCUUGUAUGAAUUCUUUUUUAUGAUAAUAAUAUAAAAUUAAAUA